AUUGAACGCUGGCGGCGUGCUUUACACAUGCAAGUCGAGCGUCAUUAUAUGGGCAACUGUAUAAUGAAGCGGCGGACGGGUGAGUAAUACAUCGAGACGUACCUAAUAGUGGGGGAUAACUCAUCGAAAGAUGAGCUAAUACCGCAUAAUCUCUGAGGAGGAAAGGUGGGGCCCAGAAAUGGCCUGUUGCUAUAAGAGCGGUCGAUGGUCGAUUAGCUAGUUGGUGUGGUAAAGGCAUACCAAGGCGAUGAUCGAUAGCUGUUCUGAGAGGAAGAUCAGCCACACUGGGACUGAGACACGGCCCAGACUCCUACGGGAGGCAGCAGUGGGGAAUCUUGCGCAAUGGGCGAAAGCCUGACGCAGCCAUGCCGCGUGUAUGAUGAAGGUCUUAGGAUUGUAAAAUACUUUCACCGGGGAAGAGUAAAUGACGGUACCCGGAGAAGAAGCCCCGGCUAACUUCGUGCCAGCAGCCGCGUAAU
This 479-nucleotide ribosomal RNA is filed under the name uncultured bacterium. RNAcentral's name for it is "bacterial SSU rRNA". It matches the Rfam family "Bacterial small subunit ribosomal RNA", at positions 30 to 524 of the family's 1533-position model. The record is from RNAcentral.